Molecule: long non-coding RNA, 355 nt
Filed under: Panax ginseng (ginseng)
Lineage: Eukaryota; Viridiplantae; Streptophyta; Magnoliopsida; Apiales; Araliaceae
Description: long non-coding RNA (PGIN_LNC000453)
Source: RNAcentral
GACCGUUGCCUUCUUCCCCGGCGUUGUUCUUGUCGAUGUCCGAGCUGCCUUAGCCGGCCUGGCCGCCGGUUUAGUCUUAGGCUUAGUUUUAGCCUCGGGUUUAGGCUUAGCAGCUGCCUUCGGCUUUGGCUUAGCCACCGGCAGGGACACAGAUUUUGCCUUGGGUUUAGCAGCGGGCUUAGCCUUUGCAACUGGCUUAGCCUUAGGUUUAGCAGCCAGCUUGGCCUUCACAACCGGUUUUGCCUUAGCAGCAGGCUUUUCCUUGGUAGCUGGCUUUGCUUUCUUCACAGGGGCUGUUUUAGCCGGCUUGGAGGCAGCUACUGGCUUGGCCUUAGACGGAGCAGGCUUCUUCUUC